AUUGAACGCUGGCGGCAUGCCUUACACAUGCAAGUCGAACGGCAGCACGGACUUCGGUCUGGUGGCGAGUGGCGAACGGGUGAGUAAUGCAUCGGAACGUGCCAUUGAGUGGGGGAUAACGUAGCGAAAGUUGCGCUAAUACCGCAUAUUCUGUGAGCAGGAAAGCAGGGGACCGCAAGGCCUUGCGCUCUUUGAGCGGCCGAUGUCAGAUUAGCUAGUGUGAGGUAAAGGCUUACCAAGGCGACGAUCUGUAGCGGGUCUGAGAGGAUGAUCCGCCACACUGGAACUGAGACACGGUCCAGACUCCUAC
Molecule: ribosomal RNA, 310 nt
Filed under: uncultured bacterium
Lineage: Bacteria
Description: bacterial SSU rRNA
Rfam family: Bacterial small subunit ribosomal RNA
Source: RNAcentral